GUAGGUGGCAAGCGUUGUCCGGAAUUAUUGGGCGUAAAGCGCGCGCAGGCGGUUCUUUAAGUCUGAUGUGAAAGCCCACGGCUCAACCGUGGAGGGUCAUUGGAAACUGGAGAACUUGAGUACAGAAGAGGAAAGCGGAAUUCCACGUGUAGCGGUGAAAUGCGUAGAGAUGUGGAGGAACACCAGUGGCGAAGGCGGCUUUCUGGUCUCUAACUGACGCUGAGGCGCGAAAGCGUGGGGAGCAAACAGGAUUAGAUACCCUGGUAGUCCACGCCGUAAACGAUGAGUGCUAAGUGUUAGGGGGUUUCCGCCCCCCUUAGUGCUGCAGCUAACGCAUUAAGCACUCCGCCUGGGAGUACGGCCGCAAGGCUG
This 372-nucleotide ribosomal RNA is filed under the name uncultured organism. RNAcentral's name for it is "partial 16S ribosomal RNA". It matches the Rfam family "Bacterial small subunit ribosomal RNA", at positions 527 to 896 of the family's 1533-position model. The record is from RNAcentral.